UGGGGAAUAUUGCACAAUGGGCGCAAGCCUGAUGCAGCAACGCCGCGUGAGGGAUGACGGCCUUCGGGUUGUAAACCUCUUUUAGCAGGGAAGAAGCGAAAGUGACGGUACCUGCAGAAAAAGCACCGGCUAACUACGUGCCAGCAGCCGCGGUAAUACGUAGGGUGCAAGCGUUGUCCGGAAUUAUUGGGCGUAAAGAGCUCGUAGGCGGUCUGUCGCGUCUGCUGUGAAAUCCCGAGGCUCAACCUCGGGCCUGCAGUGGGUACGGGCAGACUAGAGUGCGGUAGGGGAGAAUGGAACUCCUGGUGUAGCGGUGGAAUGCGCGGAUAUCAGGAAGAACACCGAUGGCGAAGGCAGUUCUCUGGGCCGUAACUGACGCUGAGGAGCGAAAGCGUGGGGAGCGAACAGGAUUAGAUACCCUGGUAGUCCACGCCGUAAACGUUGGGCGCUAGAUGUGGGGACCAUUCCACGGUUUCCGUGUCGCAGCUAACGCAUUAAGCGCCCCGCCUGGGGAGUACGGCCGCAAGGCUAAAACUCAAAGGAAUUGACGGGGUCAUAGCUGUUUCCU
This 568-nucleotide ribosomal RNA is filed under the name uncultured bacterium. RNAcentral's name for it is "partial 16S ribosomal RNA". It matches the Rfam family "Bacterial small subunit ribosomal RNA", at positions 355 to 1375 of the family's 1533-position model. The record is from RNAcentral.